GUUAGAUUUUAUUUUAUAGCAAGGUGCUGAGUGACAAAGUGACACAGUCAGUCUUCUUAGAAAGAAGCUUUGGCUGUACCACAGAGGAUGUUUGGUAGGUGGCUGGGGAUAGGAGCAGGCAAUGCAAUGGAGCAAGAUGGCAGUUGUCACAGAUGUGAUAUAUGAAGGCAUCUUGUCAUGUAUCACACAGGAAAUGGCAAGAGAGAUAUUAAGGAUGCCUUAUCAAAAAGCCUUGUGAAUGAUUUCAUGUGGAGGUGAUAAAUGAGAAGAUGCACAAUUCUGGCUUAAACGUGUGAGUGAAGGGAGGUAUGAAUCACUGUGGUAGGUAAUUAAGGAGGCAGAACAAGAUGUGGAAUUCAACAGAUACACUGGGUUUCAGGUGCUAAUGAGCUAUCCAAAGAGAAACUGUCUAGCAAUGUGCAGUCCAGCUGUGAGAUAUUGGGUAAAAUUAUGAAUUUGGGAUUUAUCAGUGUAUAGUAAUAAAUGAAUCUUUGGGCAUGGAUGAGACCUUCUUGAGAGAGAACUUAGGUGAGGACAGAGCAAAUGAGGUAAUUUAAAGCUCUGGGACUUGUUGACAACAACUGAGAAGAUAAGAAAUAGAGAAUUAUAAAUAGAUACUAAAGACAAAGUAAGUCUUUGACUAAGUCCUAAUUAUUUUUGAGAACUUGGCUCAGAAAUUUUUCCCUCUAAACUAUCAUAAGUAUCUUCAAAAAUGGUGAAGUCUGUACAGCACUGUAUUAAUUUCCUGGGGCUGUUGUAACAAAUUAGCACAAACGUGGUGGCUUAAAACAACAGACACUUAUUCUUUUACAGUUCUGGAAGCCAGAAAUCCAAAAUCAAGGUGCUGGCAGGACCAUACUCCCUUUGAAGGGUUUUGGAGAGAAUCCAUUCCUUGCUUUUUCCAGCUUCUGGUGGCUGUCAGCAUUCUUUUCCUUGUGGCACACCUCUCUCUGCUCUGUCUCCACCUUACCUUCUCCUGCAGGUGUCUGCCUUAAAGUUCCCUACGUCCCUCCCCUCUGAAGACACACUGGAUUACAUUUAGGAUCCACACAAAUAAUCUAGUAUAAUCCAUCAUAAACUCCACUCAAGAUCAUUAACUUAAUCACGUCUUGUACAAGGCUGCCAGGACUUAGAAGAAAAACAAUUUUCCCAAAACAACGAUAAAGCAGCCAAGAGGAAAAAUCUAAUAAAGUUGCCAAGGAAUGACGGUGCUCUAGGAACAGUUGGUUGAAUCCACAGAUGCACAACUCACAGAUACAGAGGCCUGGCCACAUACUAUGCUGGUAUGCUUUUGGCUUUGUUUAAAAAUCUCUCUCCCUUAUGUAGUAAAUAUGGAUUGUAAAAGAUUGUAUACUGAAUUGGUAUUUCUACUUGCUUCUCACAAUCUUUGAAUUGUCCACCUAAUAUAGGUGGAGGUUAUGUUAACGUAGAGAAUCAGGAAGUAACAUAGAAAGGGUACUUAUUCUUUUCACCAGGGCUAAUACUGUCAUCAAAUAACAGAUUGUCCACAUCAGAAAAACUUGAGGGCUUCCACAGAAGCUUUGGGAGAUUUAUGUAACGCCUCCCCAAGGGCUGGCGGUGCUGCGCAUAUACUUAUGACAUACUGCCAAAUUUUGCUUCCAUGCUGGUCCCUCCAUGACCUGGUACUUUUAUAAACCAGUAUCAAACAUAGUGCAUGGCCAAUAAUCAGUAAAUGCUUUUGUAGUACUAGACUGAUGUUAUCGUCUGAUAGGUCCUACAUUAUUUUAACUCCUUAGAAAAUCACUUUGGCUGUAUCUUGUUUCAAUCCAUGAUCUUCAAAAGUGUUCAUAACCUUUAUUUAUUCAUUCUUAUUAUAUAUAUUCACUCACACACAUAUAUAUAGAUCAGAUUACUUGAAGCAUGACUCUGCCUGCUGAUAGAUAGAUGGAAAAAAAUGAUCCAGAAAUUUUGAAGAAUAAUGUAGAUUUCAUUGCAGGGUUUUUCCCUAGCACAGGACAUAGAAAACUUCUACGAACCCUUCUCAGACACUUCGUGUGCCCACAAUUUUCAACAGAAAGUAACCAUUUAAGUCUCUCACACUCUCUCCUCGCUCAUGAUCACAUACUCCCCCACCCCCGCCCCAGUACUCUUUCGCUUCUUCCUUCAUCACUUUCAGCAACGGCUUCCUCAAGGGCUAUCCCACAGUCCCCUAAGAAACACAGUUCACCUUCAGUCCCACUCGCCGUGCUUGCUCCCCACCUAGCUCACAUAAACACACCCAAGGCUCCUCCGCAGAGUCCCCAGUGUCCAAGUUCAAGUUCAGGAUCCCUGGCCUGCUCACUGUCCCGGUCAUAAAGUUCAUGAAGUCAUUCAACUCCAGCAUUUCCUUCAUAUGUGGCUGAAACUCCUACGGAACACCUCUCUCAUCUGAAUUUAUAGUUCAAAGAAUAUCAGUAUUUUAAAAGAGCCUCAAAGUCACAGGGCUGUCUCUGUCAAUUGAUACAUGGGUAAACUGAGACCCUGAGAGAGGAGCAUGUGAUCAGCCACAGACGCUGUCAGUGACACCCUGUUAGGACGAGAAGGAGCUUCCUGCAAAUCGACUUAAAAUCUACUGCGUGCUCCCUUCCCACCCUGACUUCCUGUGACAUCACUGAUCCUCACGUCUGAGAAACUCCCUGCUGCACCGAGUGACCCUGCUGAAGCCCACCACAACACGCUUUAGCCCCUCAAAUCCUGCUACCCCUAAGGGUUGAAUCCUCCCCUGUCCUUUCUCGAUAGCCCGUGAGUUCACUGACACGGGGAUGAUGCCAUUUCUACUGGUGAGUGCCAAGCACUUACUAGGAGCUGACAUAUUUGUAGAACUCAGACUUUGAACCAAAGCUUUAAAUCCAAAUUCUUCAACAAGUAAUCACUUAAGGCUUUAAGUUAAAACAUGCCUAAGUUAAAACAUUCUUAUUAUGCGAAUAAACCUAAAUCAUGGAGCUUAGACAUCACAUUCAUUCUUUAAACAAAUAUUUAUUAAGAACGUAUAUUUGACAAAUAUUUGUUAAUAAACUCUAUGCUAAAUGGGGUGCUAAGAAAGAGAAGGAUGGGGACAGGUUGAACUCUGGUACCAAGGAUGGUCCCGAGCAGCAUUAAUGAGAAACAAGCAAUCAUGUGAAGAGGAACCAGGAAGAGGGAGGGGGCAAAACUCCACACAGAUGGAACAAAGUACCUUAGAAAAUAUUAUAUCAGUUAUCAUUACAUCUAAUAUGACUGUGAUGUGAGCUACUCAACUUCAGUUAUAGAAUUUCUAUAAAAUAUUUUGAUUCACAUAUAUUCAAUACAUGUAUACACAAAUUAAUUUUAAAUAUGUCCAAUAUUAAUAAAUUGAAUUUGAGUUUCAAUGUAGGAUAUGUGUAGACUGAAUAACAGCUAAGCCUUGGCAAUCUAUUUCCUAUCCUCAACAAAUAAAUACAUUACAGUCAGUACAUUCUUUUACUAGACCCAUCUUAGAACUUAUGUCCUAAGUCAAUUAAGCAUUUAAAUUUAUUUGGGGUCAGAAAUUAUAAAGCAAUUCAGAACAAACAAAAGUAUUAUAAAUAACUUAUGCAGAUAGAAACAUGAGGAGAAAAAAUUAAGACAUUUCACUUAUAAAAUUUGUCAUCUGUGACACUAUAAUAACAGCAAGGACUUUAUAAAGGAUACUCACUAUUUAAUCAGUUUUUUAUAUAUCCAUCUUCAUUUCAGCUUCUGUUAAUUUACAUAAGCCAAAUAUCCUCUACCAAUAUUUAUUUAUCUGAGGCAGGCAUGCUUACAUAUUCAACUUGCCUUUUUCUUAAACAAUUAAAUGUGAAAACAAAAACAAAAACUAUAGUAGCACUCAAGUAUUAUAUGGGCCAGGCAAAUUAUCUUGCUCUUGGGUUAAGGGUACAACAAUGUUGUUUUACCAAUAUCUAUUUUAACAGCCUGAAGUUUUUACUUCCAUCAGGCUGAAUUUGCAAAGAAUCCUAAGAAUCAAUGAGGACUUUCUUUCAAGGGUAAGUUAGGAGGACUAUCUAACAUAUUUUUACAACUUGCCAUUAAAGUCCUUAUCUAAACCUUACCAAAGGUUGCCAGGUUGUUAACUGUGUUCUCUAAAUCGUGUCCUUAUUGCAGAUCUCAUCUGUGUUUGUGCUUCUUUGUCUUUGAGGUACCUGCUCAUUUAUCCUCUCCAAUAGAUUACUCCAUGGGAAGCAGCAGCUGAAGUUUCUCUUGCAGGGACAGAGCCUUUCCUGGAAAGAAGAGACUGAUUCUCUCCAGGACACAAGCAGAUGGUCGCACUCUCAGAAGGUCCCACAGAGAUUCACCUCUGUCAUGCAAAAUUUCUCUGACAAGUGGGAGGAGGCAGGUGGGAAGAGGAAGCCGCUGAGCCCUUUUCUUAAGGAAAGAAAAUGAGCUUACUGAACACAAAGGGCACGGAGGCAGAAGAUGAGCCCCAUAUGGCAGAGAAGGUGAAUGCAAUCAAAAGACAGGUGCAUUCCACCUGCUCCUGUGCAGCUACCUUAG
Molecule: non-coding RNA, 4488 nt
Organism: Microcebus murinus (gray mouse lemur)
Lineage: Eukaryota; Metazoa; Chordata; Mammalia; Primates; Cheirogaleidae
Source: RefSeq, a predicted model, not a curated record